Molecule: ribosomal RNA, 253 nt
Filed under: uncultured bacterium
Lineage: Bacteria
Description: partial 16S ribosomal RNA
Rfam family: Bacterial small subunit ribosomal RNA
Source: RNAcentral
UACGUAGGGUGCAAGCGUUGUCCGGAAUUAUUGGGCGUAAAGAGCUCGUAGGCGGUCUGUCGCGUCGGAUGUGAAAACCCGGGGCUUAACCCCGGGCCUGCAUUCGAUACGGGCAGACUCGAGUGUGGUAGGGGAGACUGGAACUCCUGGUGUGGCGGUGAAAUGCGCAGAUAUCAGGAAGAACACCGGUGGCGAAGGCGGGUCUCUGGGCCACUACUGACGCUGAGGAGCGAAAGCGUGGGGAGCAAACGGG